This is a long non-coding RNA of Ostrea edulis (European flat oyster), 769 nucleotides long. RefSeq lists it as uncharacterized. The record is from RefSeq and is a predicted model, not a curated record. The transcript is spliced from 2 exons. Lineage: Eukaryota; Metazoa; Mollusca; Bivalvia; Ostreida; Ostreidae.
CCGUGUUUCGAGUUACUCCGGAACACAGUGUUUAUUCUGUGUUUAGUCACGCCGCGUCAAAAAUGUUCCACAGGGUUACUUCCGGUUUAUCGUUGUUUACCAACAGUCGACACUUCGUGUAUUAGGCCUAGGCUUAAUUUUGUCGAUCAUCAUGAAAUUGAAAUACAAAUUGAAUAGUUUGGGGUGUAUGCGGUACAUAUUUGUUUAUGAGCGUUUGAUAAGCUACUAUUGAUCUACGAAAUACAACGAAAGACUUCGUCAAGAACAGAAGAAGACGAUGCAUGUCGUGUAACUCACACAAGGCCCAGCUGUCUAGUAACCGGAGGGGUAAAGGAAAAGAACGUAUUAGACUCACUGAAACCUGUCAAACAGGUAUAUGGGAACAGGAUCAUUUUCCAUGCCUUUCACUUGAGGUCUUCAGUUUCAUCAUUAAUCAUCUGAAUGUCGGUAUGCCAAACUCUCAUGAUGUCAUGCCAUUACUGGAUAUUCCUUAACACUGGUUUAUUUAAGCCACACUACCUAUAACAUUGCCAAAAUAUUAGACUGAAAAUUUUCAAAUACACAAGAUUUGAAGCAGCAAAAGAAAAGAAUUACAUAUGUAUAACACACAAAAAAGAAGAAAUUAAUUCUCACCUGGCUGAUAUGAACUUUUUACUCCUUUUUAGCUCCCUUUCACUGCAUACCAGCCAAUAACUAGCAGUCAUUAUAUGCAGAUCAGCCAUUGUUAUCAACCUGUGUAUAUAUAUGUUGAAUGAAAUAUGAAUGAAAA